RNAcentral lists this ribosomal RNA (198 nucleotides) under uncultured bacterium. RNAcentral describes it as "partial 16S ribosomal RNA". It matches the Rfam family "Bacterial small subunit ribosomal RNA", at positions 328 to 539 of the family's 1533-position model. The record is from RNAcentral.
ACGCUCGACACCUACGGGAGGCAGCAGUGGGGAAUAUUGCACAAUGGGGGGAACCCUGAUGCAGCGACGCCGCGUGAGGGAAGAAGGUUUUCGGAUUGUAAACCUCUGUCCUUGGUGACGAUAAUGACGGUAGCCAAGGAGGAAGCCACGGCUAACUACGUGACAGCAGCCGAGGUAAUCUGAGCGGGCUGGCAAGGC